This 119-nucleotide ribosomal RNA is filed under the name Triticum aestivum (bread wheat). The record is from RNAcentral. RNAcentral also lists the same sequence under 1 other name. Lineage: Eukaryota; Viridiplantae; Streptophyta; Magnoliopsida; Poales; Poaceae.
GGAUGCGAUCAUAGCAGCACUAAAGCACCGGAUCCCAUCAGAACUCCGAAGUUAAGCGUGCUUGGGUGAGAGUAGUACUAGGAUGGGUGACCUCGUGGGAAGUCCUCGUGAUGCGUUCC